Molecule: ribosomal RNA, 553 nt
Filed under: uncultured Nitrososphaerota archaeon
Lineage: Archaea; Thermoproteati; Nitrososphaerota
Description: bacterial SSU rRNA
Rfam family: Archaeal small subunit ribosomal RNA
Source: RNAcentral
ACGGGGCGCAGCAGGCGCGAAACCUUUGCAAUGUGCGAAAGCACGACAAGGUUAAUCCGAGUGUCUCCCGCUAAGGGAGUCUUUUGUCAGUUCUAGAACCACUGAUGAAUAAGGGGUGGGCAAGUUCUGGUGUCAGCCGCCGCGGUAAAACCAGCACCUCGAGUGGUCAGGAGGUUUAUUGGGCCUAAAGCAUCCGUAGCUCGUUUUGUAAGUUUUCGGUUAAAUCCAUGCGCUUAACGUAUGGGCUGCCGGGAAUACUGCAUAACUAGGAAGUGGGAGAGGUAGACGGUACUCGGUAGGAAGGGGUAAAAUCCUUUGAUCUAUUGAUGACCACCUGUGGCGAAGGCGGUCUACCAGAACACGUUCGACGGUGAGGGAUGAAAGCUGGGGGAGCAAACCGGAUUAGAUACCCGGGUAGUCCCAGCUGUAAACGAUGCAGACUCGGUGAUGCAUUGGCUUGUGGCCAAUGCAGUGCCGCAGGGAAGCCGUUAAGUCUGCCGCCUGGGAAGUACGUACGCAAGUAUGAAACUUAAAGGAAUUGGCGGGGGAGCAC